Molecule: ribosomal RNA, 253 nt
Filed under: uncultured bacterium
Lineage: Bacteria
Description: partial 16S ribosomal RNA
Rfam family: Bacterial small subunit ribosomal RNA
Source: RNAcentral
UACGAAGGGUGCAAGCGUUAAUCGGAAUUACUGGGCGUAAAGCGUGCGUAGGUGGUUUGUUAAGUCUGCCGUGAAAGCCCUGGGCUCAACCUGGGAAUGGCGGUGGAUACUGACAAGCUAGAGUGCGGUAGAGGAGGGUGGAAUUCCCGGUGUAGCGGUGAAAUGCGUAGAGAUCGGGAGGAACAUCAGUGGCGAAGGCGGCCCUCUGGACCAGCACUGACGCUGAGGCACGAAAGCGUGGGGAGCAAACAGG